CCUACGGGAGGCAGCAGUGGGGAAUUUUCCGCAAUGGGCGCAAGCCUGACGGAGCAAUACCGCGUGAGGGAUGAAGGCCUGUGGGUUGUAAACCUCUUUUCUCAAGGAAGAAGUUCUGACGGUACUUGAGGAAUAAGCAUCGGCUAACUCUGUGCCAGCAGCCGCGGUAAUACAGAGGAUGCAAGCGUUAUCCGGAAUUAUUGGGCAUAAAGCGUCUGUAGGUUGUUUGGUAAGUCUGCUGUUAAAGACUAGGGCUUAACCCUAGAAAAGCAGUGGAAACUGCUAUACUUGAGUGUGGUAGAGGUAGAGGGAAUUCCUAGUGUAGCGGUGAAAUGCGUAGAUAUUAGGAAGAACACCAAUGGCGAAAGCACUUUACUGGGCCAUAACUGACACUGAGAGACGACAGCUAGGGGAGCAAAUGGGAUUAGAUACCCCAGUAGUCCUAGCCGUAAACUAUGGAUACUAGAUGUUGUACGUAUUAACCCGUACAGUAUCGUAGCUAAGGCGUUAAGUAUCCCGCCUGGGAAGUACG
This 532-nucleotide ribosomal RNA is filed under the name uncultured phototrophic eukaryote. Its description in RNAcentral is "bacterial SSU rRNA". It matches the Rfam family "Bacterial small subunit ribosomal RNA", at positions 338 to 884 of the family's 1533-position model. The record is from RNAcentral.